GUGAGUAGUUCAGAGUUUGAUCCUGGCUCAGGAUGAACGCUGGCGGCGUGCAUAACACAUUCAAGUCGAACGGUGAUUACCCUUCGGGGUAUGAUCAGUGGCGGACGGGUGAGUAACGCGUGAGCAACCUGCCCUUGUGCGGGGGAUACCGUCUGGAAACGGACGUUAAUACCGCAUAACGUAUAUCUGCCGCAUGGUGGAUAUACCAAAGAUUUAUUGCGCAAGGAUGGGCUCGCGUCUGAUUAGAUAGUUGGUGGGGUAACGGCUCACCAAGUCUACGAUCAGUAGCCGGACUGAGAGGUUGAACGGCCACAUUGGAACUGAGAAACGGUCCAG
Molecule: ribosomal RNA, 336 nt
Filed under: uncultured bacterium
Lineage: Bacteria
Description: bacterial SSU rRNA
Rfam family: Bacterial small subunit ribosomal RNA
Source: RNAcentral